This 403-nucleotide ribosomal RNA is filed under the name uncultured bacterium. RNAcentral describes it as "partial 16S ribosomal RNA". It matches the Rfam family "Bacterial small subunit ribosomal RNA", at positions 28 to 527 of the family's 1533-position model. The record is from RNAcentral.
GACGAACGCUGGCGGCGUGCCUAAUACAUGCAAGUCGAACGCAGUGGGGACGGGUGAGUAACACGUGGUUAACCUCCCAUCAGAGGGGAUAACACUUGGAAACAGGUGCUAAACCGAUACUGCUGGAUGGACCCGGGGUGCAUUAGCUAGUUGGUGAGGUAACGGCUCACCAAGGCCACGAUACAUCCCCGGCAUGAGAGGGGUAGCGGCCACACUGGGACGGAGACACGGCCCGGACUCCUACGGGAGGCAGCAGUGGGGAAUCUUCGAAAAUGGGCGAAAGUCUGACCGAGCAACGCCGCGUGGGUGAAGAAGGUUUGCGGAUCGUAAGACUCGGUUGGUAGAGAGGCGGUAUCUAACCAGAAAGCCACGGCUAACUACGUGCCAGCAGGCGCGGUAAUUG